UAGAAAACUCCAGAAUAAGGACCUCACUCC
Molecule: non-coding RNA, 30 nt
Filed under: Rattus norvegicus (Norway rat)
Lineage: Eukaryota; Metazoa; Chordata; Mammalia; Rodentia; Muridae
Source: RNAcentral